This 73-nucleotide transfer RNA is filed under the name Fukomys damarensis (Damara mole-rat). It matches the Rfam family "tRNA". From Rfam's summary of the family: Transfer RNA (tRNA) molecules are approximately 80 nucleotides in length. Their secondary structure includes four short double-helical elements and three loops (D, anti-codon, and T loops). Further hydrogen bonds mediate the characteristic L-shaped molecular structure. tRNAs have two regions of fundamental functional importance: the anti-codon, which is responsible for specific mRNA codon recognition, and the 3' end, to which the tRNAs corresponding amino acid is attached (by aminoacyl-tRNA synthetases). tRNAs cope with the degeneracy of the genetic code in two manners: having more than one tRNA (with a specific anti-codon) for a particular amino acid; and 'wobble' base-pairing, i.e. permitting non-standard base-pairing at the 3rd anti-codon position. Lineage: Eukaryota; Metazoa; Chordata; Mammalia; Rodentia; Bathyergidae. The record is from Rfam by way of RNAcentral.
GGGGAUUUAGCUCAGUAGUUCUGCCUCCUGCCUCACAAGCACAAGGACCUGAGUUCGAUCCCCAGAAUCCCCC